This 66-nucleotide microRNA precursor is filed under the name Bombyx mori (domestic silkworm). Its description in RNAcentral is "mir-2774 microRNA precursor family". It matches the Rfam family "mir-2774 microRNA precursor family". Lineage: Eukaryota; Metazoa; Arthropoda; Insecta; Lepidoptera; Bombycidae. The record is from Rfam by way of RNAcentral.
ACAACAUUCGGACCGUCGGUCUACCGAGCAAUAUCAAUCGCUCGAUGGAAAAUCUUUCUUCGUUAU